ACAUGCUGGUUAUCUAGCACAAUUCAUCAGCGCAACACUGAAUCUUUUCUGUGACAUAUUCUCUCAGUGUACAGGUUUUCAUCAUACUUACCAAAUGAUCCGGAAAAUAAUUAUAAUUCUUUCCCUGAUAAUAGGGGUAUCUCAUUGUGAGAGACUGAAUCGCUAUGUUAGACAUUAUGAACUUCUUAGCUACAACACACAAGAGUUACAUUCCAAGCAUGAAAGAACCAGACGGUCAAUAGAUUCCUCCCAAGAAUUGGAACUUGACUUUGAGGCACAUGGGAGACCAUUUCAUCUGAGGUUACGACCCGGAGCACCAUACAUCUCCCAUAAUCUCAUACUAGAAACAGAUGAUGGUGCUGCUCCAUACAAACCAGAUUUCCUCUAUAUUGGAAACUUAAAAGGUAAAUUGAAACUUUUUUUUUAUUGAUUGAUUGAUUUGAGUCCUUUAUACUUACAAUUAAUCAGUGAACUUUAGUUUGUAGCAGUUGAUAUAAAUUGUUUCCAUGUUAAAGCAAUUCUAAAGUGUUUUUGUGGUCCACAUUUGAUACUCUGUAUCCAUAGGACUUCUGAAGCAAAAAAAGAAAGACCUGUCAGUACUCCAUAUUCUGACUUCAAUUCACAGAGUAUAAUAUGAUUCAAGUGUUGUAUGGAUGAUAUGCAUGUAUAUAUUUGUCAAUCCUCAGACAUGCGAUUAUUGUUUUAAUAUUGUAAGGUGUCAAUAUUACAAAGCUGUUAAUGCUUUGCAAAUAAUUAAUUAACUUGAUUUGUUGCAUUUUCGAGAACGUUCCUUAUAGAAAAAAUAUGUAUUUUCAUAUAUUAUCAGGAAGAAAAAAACAGGAUCAAUGAAAUCUUGAGAUAAAAUUUUAUUUCUUCCCUUUUUGUAUUUAUAUUGGAAGUUUGAUGAUUAUACAUAGAGGAUGGUGUACAUAUCAAAUUCAUUGAAAAUGUGUUUUUUUAUAUGCAUUUAUGAAGACCAAAAAAAAACGGCUUUGUUUGCUGUGACCCAAUUGAGUAUAGUAACACCUUUUAGUAACACCUACCAACUCAUGUUUUUUUUUCUUCAAAUUUGACCCCUGCUGAAUUAAUAAUGAGUAAAUAAAUAAAUAAUAAUAAUAAUUCUAAAAGAAAUGAAUACAGGAUUAGAUAAAGAAAGAAAGAAGAAGUAGAAUUAAAAAACAGUGUGUAGACGGAGCCUUGUUUUCCCAAGUUUUUCCACUUUUUUGUACAAAUAAAGUUUAUUGAAAAACAGUGAAUGGUGCAUGAGGAUAUUGUCCAAAUGAUGAGCAGAGAACCUUGUGCCUGACCAACCAACCCUUGAUAUCCAUUAUAUGAAAAUGGAUCCUAGAAGCUCUUUGAUAUUCAUGUAUACAUGUACACAAACAAAAUUCAUUAAUUUGUUUAAAUAUUCAACAUAUUGAUGCAGGAUUAAAAGAGUACCGGUAACAAUAAAAUCAGCAAAGCUUUUUUUCAUUAAUUUCCUGUAAACACUUAAUCAUACGUAGACCAAUGCCAAGUUUUUCUUCUGUUGAGGCAAACAAACAGUUUUUAGGUGUGGUCUACACUUACUAAGAACUGGGAAGUGAAACAAGAAAUUUUGUGUUAUGUGCAUACAUAUCAUAUUUUUACUGGUAUACUAGACAUUGAAUGUUUUAAGUACUUUUUUGAGUAAACAUAAUUGUACUUGAGAUAAUAUAUGUCCCUCUUUCAAGUUGAUUAUUUUUCUAGAUUUUCCAUUCAGUCUCCUGACUCUCCUCUCUUUAGACUCAUAAUAUGUUAUGAUAAAUGUACAUUUACAGUAUAGAGCUUUAAGAAGCUGAUCAGCAACUGCUAAUAUUAUGCAAGCAAAUCAAAAUCACUAACGAGCGCAUAUAAUUUAUCCGCAUUUAUUGUUCAGAGUCAACCCUUUGCCUUUUAUGAGAUAUUGGUAUCUUUAAUCAUAUGAUAAGUAUUAAAGUCAGUGUGUUUGUAAUUUAAGGCAGUGAAUUUUUAGAUAUUUCUUAGAUAUUUCUCGAAUGUGAUCCAUUUCACUGAAAAUAAUAUUAUUUGCAAAUUGCAAUAUAUUGAUUUUAAUAAAGUACGAAUAGACUGUUUGAAACAAAAUCAUUAUAAAAAAGGAAAUUAAUACAGAUACUGUAUAGCCACAAACUCAGAAUGUAGGUGUAGAUCAACAUGUAUAGUCUGGUAACUCUCAAUAAAUUCUGUCCUUUCUAGGCAUACUGUAUUGAUUCACAAGAAAAGCUGCUAUCGUUUUAGACUUAUUUCCCCUUUGAGUCACCCAGUUUCAACACGAUUCUUAUCUCAUCCGAGAAGCAAAUCAAUGACGUGCUUCAAACACUCACUCUGAUUUUGUCACCAUUUUCUCUUCAUCGUCUUGUCUGUACCUUUAUAUUUGAAUGUGUUGGGCGAUUCUGUACGGGACAUUUGGCAACAAUUAUUUGUCUCUUCGCUGAAUGCUUGAGUAAUAAAAUUUUCUUUUCUGUCAGUGAUAAAGGUAUGGGGAUCGUCUUUGAAAAACCGAU
This is a long non-coding RNA of Lytechinus pictus (painted urchin), 2522 nucleotides long. RefSeq lists it as uncharacterized. The record is from RefSeq and is a predicted model, not a curated record. Lineage: Eukaryota; Metazoa; Echinodermata; Echinoidea; Temnopleuroida; Toxopneustidae. The transcript is spliced from 3 exons.